RNAcentral lists this transfer RNA (82 nucleotides) under Selaginella lyallii. RNAcentral describes it as "tRNA-Tyr". It matches the Rfam family "tRNA". From Rfam's summary of the family: Transfer RNA (tRNA) molecules are approximately 80 nucleotides in length. Lineage: Eukaryota; Viridiplantae; Streptophyta; Lycopodiopsida; Selaginellales; Selaginellaceae. The record is from RNAcentral.
GGGUCGGUGCUCGAGUGGUUAAUGGGGACGGAUUGUAAAUCCGCUGGCAAUGCCUACGCUGGUUCGAAUCCAGCCCGACCCA